GAUGAACGCUGGCGGCGUGCCUAAUACAUGCAAGUCGAGCGAACAGAUGAGGAGCUUGCUCCUCUGACGUUAGCGGCGGACGGGUGAGUAACACGUGUAUAACCUACCUAUAAGACUGGGAUAACUUCGGGAAACCGGAGCUAAUACCGUAUAAUAUAUUGAACCGCAUGGUUCAAUAGUGAAAGACGGUUUUGCUGUCACUUAUAGAUGGUUCCGCGCCGCAUUAGCUAGUUGGUAAGGUAACGGCUUACCAAGGCAACGAUGCGUAGCCGACCUGAGAGGGUGAUCGGCCACACUGGAACUGAGACACGGUCCAGACUCCUACGGGAGGCAGCAGUAGGGAAUCUUCCGCAAAGGGCGAAAGCCUGACGGAGCAACGCCGCGUGAGUGAUGAAGGUCUUCGGAUCGUAAAACUCUGUUAUUAGGGAAGAACAAAUGUGUAAGUAACUAUGCACGUCUUGACGGUACCUAAUCAGAAAGCCACGGCUAACUACGUG
Molecule: ribosomal RNA, 497 nt
Filed under: uncultured bacterium
Lineage: Bacteria
Description: partial 16S ribosomal RNA
Rfam family: Bacterial small subunit ribosomal RNA
Source: RNAcentral